This 431-nucleotide ribosomal RNA is filed under the name uncultured bacterium. RNAcentral describes it as "bacterial SSU rRNA". It matches the Rfam family "Bacterial small subunit ribosomal RNA", at positions 29 to 506 of the family's 1533-position model. The record is from RNAcentral.
ACGAACGCUGGCGGCAUGCCUAACACAUGCAAGUCGAACGAGACCUUCGGGUCUAGUGGCGCACGGGUGCGUAACGCGUGGGAACCUGCCCUUAGGUUCGGAAUAACAGUUAGAAAUGACUGCUAAUACCGGAUAAUGUCUUCGGACCAAAGAUUUAUCGCCUUUGGAUGGGCCCGCGUUGGAUUAGCUAGUUGGUGGGGUAAAGGCCUACCAAGGCGACGAUCCAUAGCUGGUCUGAGAGGAUGAUCAGCCACACUGGGACUGAGACACGGCCCAGACUCCUACGGGAGGCAGCAGUGGGGAAUAUUGGACAAUGGGCGAAAGCCUGAUCCAGCAAUGCCGCGUGAGUGAUGAAGGCCUUAGGGUUGUAAAGCUCUUUUACUGGGGAUGAUAAUGACAGUACCCAGAGAAUAAGCUCCGGCUAACUCCGU